Molecule: long non-coding RNA, 1388 nt
Filed under: Sus scrofa (pig)
Lineage: Eukaryota; Metazoa; Chordata; Mammalia; Artiodactyla; Suidae
Description: lncRNA (ENSSSCG00040020264.1)
Source: RNAcentral
GUCAUCGCCAUCCGUCCUGGCUCAUGGUAAGGUGACCGUCUUGUUGGGGUCUUAUCUCUCUCAACAGCAGCUUAAAACGAACACACAAAAACCUUGAGGUCUUUAGGCGUUGCCUGUAAACCAUCUUAGUAAAAUGUUUGCUGUUCUGGAUCUGUGCCAUCUAAAGCAGGCUAACCUUCUUUCCGACGGAUUUCUAGAAGGGAUCGAGUCUUCCUGUCUCCUUCGGAGUGCUAUAGCAGUUCUCACUUCGGACUAAAAGGUGCAAGGAUUUUGCAACUCUGGGAGACCCCAAAAUACCUGCGGGCAGACUCUAGCUUUGUUCAACAGCUCUUGAGAGAAGAUUUUUACCUUGUCAGCUGCUGUUGCAAUGACUGCCUCUUUGCCUCUGAAUUUCUAAGACAUGGUUAAUGCCUUCUAAUUUCUAGAUUUUUAAAGACUUCUUUUUCUUUAGCUCAAUGUUUAUCCUUUUCUAUUUCCAAAAAAAGGCAAAGCAAAUGCUCUUUCUUAAGUCUUCAACCCAGCACAUACUUGGAUUUUCUUUAAGGGCAGUUAAGAUAGAGGCUUAUUGAUAUCGUCAGUGUUUUAUCUAUCAGUUCUUAGAAUAUAGAACCAGACCUGACAAGUAAUUCCAGAAAAAAACCUCUAAUAGUGAAUAUUUGACUUGUAAUUUUCACUGAAGAGAAAAUUUAUGGUCAUUAAAAAAAUAAAAUUCUGAGUAUUUUUUAAUUACUCUCAAACUUGACGGUGAUUAAUGAUGAUCAUUUGUAUACUUUUAAUAUAUCGACUCAUUCUAGUUACAUACAUUAUUUCAUUAAAUACAUAAUUACCAUUUCUUUCGCAGGAAUCGUAAGGACACAGAACUACUCAGUAGUUUUCCUCUGUACAAAGCAGAUGAGCCAGGAUUUGAAACCAGUUCCAGAACCAAAACCCUUCUCUUGGCUACCUUGUAGUUUGCAUUAUGAUGGCCUUGGGAGUGAAGAUUGCUUACCGGGCACUUAGCGGAGGGUCAGUCAGGAUUCUCGAUGCCCUGGGAGUGUCCACUGAGAGCACGUCCAAUCGGACAGGCGAGCUUCUUCAUGUCUGACUGGAAGGCUUGGUUUCUGUGUUCCACCAACAGACCGUGAGUACUUAUAAAGUGCAAUGCGUCUUAUCUCCUGUUAUUCCCGCACUUCCUGGGUACCAAGGGAACAGUUUACUCAGAGUUUCUGUGAGGUAUUUUACAUUCAACCUAAAUCACCUCUGGGAAUUAAAAUCCCUGAGUCAUUCUGGUAACUAAUAGUGACUCGGUUAUGAUGCUUUGGGUUUGUUCUCAGGAUGACUCCAAGUCCAGAACCUUUGGUGUGACAGCCUUUCUGCUCCAGGAGGGACAUCUUCAGUGCGUGGCCUUG